RNAcentral lists this long non-coding RNA (516 nucleotides) under Prunus persica (peach). Its description in RNAcentral is "long non-coding RNA (PPER_LNC006698)". The record is from RNAcentral. Lineage: Eukaryota; Viridiplantae; Streptophyta; Magnoliopsida; Rosales; Rosaceae.
CUACAUACACUUUAAAGUUUAGCUUAGUUUAAUAUAUGUAUAGCUUAAACCUCCUGUGGUAUGAAUGAAGAGGUGCUCAGCUCUUGGAAGUGAUGAAGUAGAGAGAGAAAGUCUUCAAGAUGAUGAAGUUUUUUUUUUUUUGGGAACAAUGCACUCAUUAUACAGAGAACCUUGUCACCCUCAAGGGAGGGAAGAAAUACUCGUGAAGAGCAGAACGGUUCGUUUUCAAUGGUUGAAACUUGAAACUCUUUUUACUGGUUUACUUACAUAGCUCUGCUUCUUCUGUUUGUGGUUACGUAAGAAAUGGAAGAAUUUUAUUCAUUUUGCCCCAUCUGUUCCCUACUACUCCAGGUCUCGGACUGCUUUUACAUCACAAUAAUUUAAGUCCUCAUUUGGUCUAUAAGUCAAAUUGUUUUAGGAGGCUAGACUCUUAGGUAUGGUUGAAUAUAUCAGUUGGGGAAUUUAUAGUAACUAUAAUUUCAACUUUUAGCAGCACUGGCCGGCUAGAUGUCAGAC